Molecule: ribosomal RNA, 495 nt
Filed under: uncultured bacterium
Lineage: Bacteria
Description: partial 16S ribosomal RNA
Rfam family: Bacterial small subunit ribosomal RNA
Source: RNAcentral
GACGAACGCUGGCGGCGUGCCUAAUACAUGCAAGUAGAACGCUGAAGGAGGAGCUUGCUUCUCUGGAUGAGUUGCGAACGGGUGAGUAACGCGUAGGUAACCUGCCUGGUAGCGGGGGAUAACUAUUGGAAACGAUAGCUAAUACCGCAUAAUAGCAGUUGUUGCAUGACAACUGUUUGAAAGGUGCAAUUGCACCACUACCAGAUGGACCUGCGUUGUAUUAGCUAGUUGGUGGGGUAACGGCUCACCAAGGCGACGAUACAUAGCCGACCUGAGAGGGUGAUCGGCCACACUGGGACGGAGACACGGCCCAGACGCCUACGGGAGGCAGCAGUAGGGAAUCUUCGGCAAUGGACGGAAGUCUGACCGAGCAACGCCGCGUGAGUGAAGAAGGUUGUCGGAUCGUAAAGCUCUGUUGUAAGAGAAGAACGAGUGUGAGAGUGGAAAGUUCACACUGUGACGGUAUCUUACCAGAAAGGGACGGCUAACUACGUG